RNAcentral lists this small RNA (185 nucleotides) under Streptomyces tsukubensis. Its description in RNAcentral is "c-di-AMP sequence". The stretch from base 34 to 185 matches the Rfam family "c-di-AMP riboswitch aptamer (ydaO/yuaA leader)". From Rfam's summary of the family: This family represents a conserved RNA structure found upstream of the ydaO and yuaA genes in Bacillus subtilis and related genes in other bacteria. Lineage: Bacteria; Bacillati; Actinomycetota; Actinomycetes; Kitasatosporales; Streptomycetaceae. The record is from RNAcentral.
CCGGUCGGACCGCCGAAUCCUGCCGCCGUCCGGAACCCUUCACCCGAAGCACGUGGCAGGAGCGGGGGACCCAGGUAGUCCGCCGGACGGGAAACCGUCCGGCUCGGGGUGAAGUCGCGCCGUGCGCGACCGGGCACCUCCCGCCCGAACCCGACAGCUCACCUCGCAGGCGCCGGAGAGGAAAC